AGUAAUUAUUUAUUCAAGAAAUAAUUUAUUCAAGGAAUUAUUUAUUGAGUAAGUAAAAUAUAAUCCAGUAAACUCGGUUGGUCAAAUUUAAGGAGAAUAAACUCAUUGAUACUUUCUGGUGUUCCUAUCACAAGGAUUCUUAAACUAAUGAACAACAACAAAAAAUACUGACCAAUAAUGCUUCUCAGAGGUUAAUUUGGCACUUAAAUAAUGAACUU
Sapajus apella (tufted capuchin) is the source of this 218-nucleotide long non-coding RNA. RefSeq lists it as uncharacterized. NCBI's taxonomy places the organism in Eukaryota, Metazoa, Chordata, Mammalia, Primates, Cebidae. The record is from RefSeq and is a predicted model, not a curated record. The transcript is spliced from 2 exons.